AGAAUCAACGCUGGCGGCGUGCCUAACACAUGCAAGUCGAACGAGAAAGUGGAGCAAUCCAUGAGUACAGUGGCGACCGGGUGAGUAACACGUGACCAACCUACCUUCGAGUGGGGGAUAACUCCGGGAAACCGGGCUAAUACCGCAUAACAUCCUUGGAAUGCAAAUUCCGCUGAUCAAAGGAGCAAUUCGCUUGAAGAGGGGGUCGCGGCUGAUUAGCUAGUUGGCGGGGUAAUGGCCCACCAAGGCGAAGAUCGGUA
Molecule: ribosomal RNA, 260 nt
Filed under: uncultured bacterium
Lineage: Bacteria
Description: partial small subunit ribosomal RNA
Rfam family: Bacterial small subunit ribosomal RNA
Source: RNAcentral